UACGUAGGUGGCGAGCGUUGUCCGGAUUUACUGGGCGUAAAGGGAGCGUAGGCGGAUUUUUAAGUGAGAUGUGAAAUACUCGGGCUCAACUUGAGUGCUGCAUUUCAAACUGGAAGUCUAGAGUACAGUAGAGGUAGGCGGAAUUCGUGGUGUAGCGGUGAAAUGCUUAGAUAUCACGAAGAACUCCGAUUGCGAAGGCAGCCUGCUGGACUGUAACUGACGCUGAUGCUCGAAAGUGUGGGUAUCAAACAGG
RNAcentral lists this ribosomal RNA (253 nucleotides) under uncultured bacterium. RNAcentral's name for it is "partial 16S ribosomal RNA". It matches the Rfam family "Bacterial small subunit ribosomal RNA", at positions 524 to 776 of the family's 1533-position model. The record is from RNAcentral.